RNAcentral lists this microRNA precursor (89 nucleotides) under Ovis aries (sheep). RNAcentral describes it as "miRNA (ENSOARG00000021989.1)". Lineage: Eukaryota; Metazoa; Chordata; Mammalia; Artiodactyla; Bovidae. The record is from RNAcentral.
AGUAUUGGGUUGGCCAAGAAGUUUGUUCAGAUUUUUCUGUACCAUCUUACAGAAAAACCUGAAUAAACUUCUUGGCCAACCCAGUAUAU